GUUCCUGCAACUUAUUCUUUUUAUUUUUCAAUGCCCCUUGGCAAUCAUUAUCUACCUGACCGUUUGAUCUCUUUUUUUGUUUUUGGUUCAGGCAUUUCUUGCAUUGCUUUUCCGUCUUCUUCUUUUUUUCUUUUUUUUUAGCAGGAUCGACCUCGAUUCCUCUUAUCCGCUCUCAGCAGUCUACCGGACAGCACUCCACAAGUGCACUGAUUCGGACCCAACCUCAGUCUGAGUUGUCUCAACCGGUCAAACAACU
RNAcentral lists this long non-coding RNA (256 nucleotides) under Lathyrus oleraceus (garden pea). RNAcentral's name for it is "Pisum sativum (pea) long non-coding RNA (PSAT_LNC016319)". Lineage: Eukaryota; Viridiplantae; Streptophyta; Magnoliopsida; Fabales; Fabaceae. The record is from RNAcentral.